CAUACUUACCGAAAUACGCACCAGUUGUUUUCCAUCAAUUCCGCAUCAAAUGUAACGCAACGAAACUUUAAAAUAUUCAAGUAAGCAUUUCGGCGUAAAAAUACAUUGAAUGUUAUAUGAAAACAGUAUGGUUGACCCGGCAGUCGAGCACUCGUCCACCGGCGAACGUACAGUUAUUUCGUUUUCCCCGAUAGGCGCGUAUUAUUAUAGGAAAAAAAAAAAAA
Molecule: non-coding RNA, 224 nt
Organism: Cinara cedri
Lineage: Eukaryota; Metazoa; Arthropoda; Insecta; Hemiptera; Aphididae
Source: the annotation of a GenBank genome assembly